UAGAAAGUUACUUCGGUACAUCGGUGACAGGUGGUGGCAUGGUUGUCGUCAGCUCGUGUCGUGAGAUGUUGGUUAAGUCCCGCAACGAGCGCAACCCCUAUUGUUAGUUGCCAUCAUUCAGUUGGGCACUCUAGCGAGACUGCCGGUAAUAAACCGGAGGAAGGUGGGAUGACGUCAAAUCAUCAUGCCCCUUAUGACCUGGGCUACACACGUGCUACAAUGGUUGGUACAACGAGUUGCGAGUCGGUGACGGCGAGCUAAUCUCUUAAAGCCAAUCUCAGUUCGGAUUGUAGGCUGCAACUCGCCUACAUGAAGCCGGAAUCGCUAGUAAUCGCGGAUCAGCAUGCCGCGGUGAAUACGUUCCCGGGCCUU
Molecule: ribosomal RNA, 372 nt
Filed under: uncultured Streptococcus sp.
Lineage: Bacteria; Bacillati; Bacillota; Bacilli; Lactobacillales; Streptococcaceae
Description: bacterial SSU rRNA
Rfam family: Bacterial small subunit ribosomal RNA
Source: RNAcentral